This 1202-nucleotide ribosomal RNA is filed under the name Symbiodinium sp. Mp. RNAcentral describes it as "partial Bacterial large subunit ribosomal RNA". It matches the Rfam family "Bacterial large subunit ribosomal RNA", at positions 1 to 1154 of the family's 2925-position model. The record is from RNAcentral. Lineage: Eukaryota; Dinophyceae; Suessiales; Symbiodiniaceae.
AGUUGUGUAGUGCGAUCGGUGGAUGCCUUGGCACCAAGAGCCGAUGAAGGACGUUGUGACCUGCGAUAAGCCCUGGGGAGUUGGUGAGCGAGCUGUGAUCCGGGGGUGUCCGAAUGGGGAAACCUGGAAUGUCCGGAGUAGUGUCCGGUGGCCCUGCCCUGAAUGUAUAGGGGUGUGGGUGGUAACGCGGGGAAGUGAAACAUCUUAGUACCCGUAGGAAGAGAAAACAAGUGUGAUUCCGUGAGUAGUGGCGAGCGAAAGCGGAGGAGGCUAAACCGUGUGUGUGUUCAAGCCGGCAGGUGUUGCAUGUGCGGGGUUGUGGGGGCCUUGUGGUUCUGCUGCCGCAGGAUUGGCCAGUGAGAAAUGUUGCGUGAAGGUGAAGCGUCUGGGAAGGCGUACCGGAGUGGGUGAGAGUCCUGUAACUGUAAGCGUGGCACUGGUGUGGGGUUGCCCCGAGUAGCGUGGAACUCGUGGAAUUUCGCGUGAAUCUGGCGGGACCACCCGUCAAGCCUAAAUACUCCUUGGUGACCGAUAGUGGAUGAGUACCGUGAGGGAAGGGUGAAAAGUACCCCGGGAGGGGAGUGAAAUAGUACCUGAAACCGUGUGCUUACAAGCGGUCGGAGUCUGCAUUUAUGUGGAUGACGGCGUGCCUUUUGUAUAAUGAGCCUACGAGUUGCUCCUGUUGUGCGAGGUUAAGCCCCUAAGGGGUGGAGCCGCAGCGAAAGCGAGUCUGAAUAGGGCGUGCAGUACAGCGGGGCAGACGCGAAACCAAGUGAUCUAUCCAUGGCCAGGGUGAAGUGGGGGUAAAACCCCAUGGAGGCCCGAACCGGUUGACGUUGAAAAGUCUUCGGAUGAGCUGUGGAUAGGGGUGAAAGGCUAAACAAAUCUGGAAAUAGCUGGUUCUCCCCGAAAACUAUUUAGGUAGUGCCUCGAGUCUCACUACAGGGGGUAGAGCACUGUUAUGGCUAGGGGGUCAUCGCGACUUACCAAACCAUGGCAAACUCCGAAUACCUGUAAGUGCAAUCUCGGGAGACAGACAUCGGGUGCUAACGUCCGGUGUCAAGAGGGAAACAACCCAGACCGCCAGCUAAGGUCCCUAAUAUCUGCUAAGUGGAAAACGAAGUGGGAAGGCUAAAACAGUCAGGAGGUUGGCUUAGAAGCAGCCACCCUUUAAAGAAAGCGUAAUAGCUCACUAGUCGAGU